AUGUACAUGGCGUACGGGUGGCCGCAGUCGAUCCCGCUGGACCCGGGCGAGUCCGACGGCGCGGUCCUCCUCCGCGUCCUCGGCCGCCUCCUCCUCGCCGUCUGCCCCGCCUCGCUCCACCUCUGGUCCGCCUCCCACCACAAGGUCCGCCUCGCCCGCCUCGACCGCUCCCCGGACUCCCUCGCCGCGCACGGCCCCAACGCCCACGCCGUCUGGAGCCCCGACGCCAAGACCGUCGCCGUCCUGACCUCCUCCUUCUACCUCCACAUAUACAAGGUGCAGCUCUCGGGGAAGCCGCUGAUCGUCGGGGGCAAGCAGCUCCCCGGGCUCUGCCUCGCCGGUCUAUCCCAAAUAAUCGUCGAGAAGGUCCCUCUGGCCAACGACAUUUCUAUAACGAGCAAUUUCGCGUGCGACAGCAAGAGCAUGCUCCUUGGGCUGUCCAACGGGCACUUGCAGGUCGUGUCCUGGAAUGCUGAGUUCUCGGACAGCUUCAAGCUUCGUUGCUCCGCAUGCUCGCCCGACAAAACCGCUGCCGUUGUAGAUGCUUUGGUGUUUGACCCGCCUAGCUUGCGAGGAAAUUCUAAUGCAAGGCCUGCUCCCUGCUGCACAGGGGAUUUUGCUAUCGUCCAUGUUGAGUUGUCGGUGAAGCUAAGAUUGCUCGUUGCUGUGUACUCAGACUGUCAGGUUGCGCUCUGUACGGUCGGUAAGAAGGGAUUGAAGCAAACCAGCGGCAUCAGGGUAGACAGAUGGUUGAACACUGGUGAUGCAAUGUGUACUUCUGUGGCUUCCGAACAGCAGAUUCUUGCCGUCGGGUGCAGCAGAGGUGUUGUUGAAUUGUAUGACCUGGCUGAGAAUGCGCGGCAUAUUCGCACUCUUUCUUUGUUUGAUUGGGGGUAUUCAGUGGAAGAUACAGGUCCUGUUACUUGUAUAUCUUGGACGCCUGACAAUUGUGCUUUUGCAGUUGGAUGGAAAUUUAGGGGACUUACUGUUUGGUCUGUAUCUGGAUGUCGGUUGAUGUGCACAUUUCGUCAAGCCGGAUCGAAUUCUGCUUUGUCUCCAAUGGUUAAACCUAAUGCCCAAAAAUUUGAGCCUCUAAUGGGUGGGACAUCACACAUUCAAUGGGAUGAUUAUGGAUAUAAAUUAUUUGCAGUUGAAGAAAGCUUAUCAGAAAGGGUUCUUGCUUUCUCAUUUGCCAAAUGUUGCCUCAACAGAGGACUUUCGAGCACAACAUAUACUCGCCAGAUUCUUUAUGGCGAAGAUCGAAUCCUGUUAGUGCAACCUGAUGAUACUGAUGAACUUAAGAUAUUGCAUCUUAAUGUUCCAGUGUCCUAUAGUUCACAGAACUGGCCAGUUCUGCAUGUAGUUGCAAGUGAUGAUGGCAUGUACUUGGCAGUUGCUGGCUCUCGUGGCCUAGUGCUGUAUGAUUUGCGAAACAAAAGAUGGCGUUUUUUUGGGGAUGUUACUCAAGAGCAAAAGAUUCAAUGCAAAGGCUUGUUGUGGUUGGGUAAAAUAGUCAUCGUAUGCAAUUAUGUUGAAUCAUCAAACACGUACGAGCUGCUGUUUUUCCCAAGAUAUCACCUUGAUCAUAGCUCCUUACUUUACCGGAAACCACUGCUUGGUAGACCCAUUGUCAUGGAUGUCUUUCAGGAUUACAUUCUUGUUACCUACAGUCCAUUUGAUGUGCAUAUAUUCCAUGUGAUGAUCUCGGGAGAAUUGUCACCUACCAGUAGUCCAGUUUUACAGCUUUCAACAGUUCGAGAACUUUCAAUUAUGAGUCCAAAGAGCCCACCUGUUUCAAUGCGCUUGAUUCCUGAACCAACUGAUGAAGGUGUGCUGAAGCGGGAUACAAAUGAAUCUUCUAACCUGUCGUCCCAACAACCUUCAAGAUGUCUGAUCUUGCGGGUGAAUGGGGAACUUUCUGUGCUGGACAUGGAUGAUGGACAUGAGCAAGCACUUACAAAUUCAGUUGAACUCUUCUGGGUCGUCGGUUCUCAAGAAGAAGAGAAGAGUAAUCUUAUCAAAGAGGUUUCAUGGCUUGACUAUGGCCAUCAAGGGAUGCAGGUAUGGUACCCAUCACAUGGAGCAAAUCCUUUUAGGCAAGAGGAUUUUCUGCAGUUGGAUCCAGAGCUUGAAUUUGACCGUGAGGUGUAUCCUCUUGGUCUCCUGCCAAAUGUUGGUGCAGUUGUUGGUGUUUCUCAGAGGACGUCCUUUUCAACCGCAGAGUUCCCAUGCUUUGAGCCUUCUCCAAAAGCGCAAACAAUAUUGCAUUGUUUACUACGGCAUCUUCUUCAGAGAGACAAACAUGAAGAAGCUUUACGUUUGGCAAACUUGUCAGCAGAGAAACCUCACUUCUCUCACUGUUUAGAGUGGCUUCUGUUUACGGUAUUUGAAGCAGAUAUAUCAAGGCCAAGUGCUUCAAAAAAUCAACUUCCACAAAAAAGUGAAUCUCCAAAGAAGUCUCUUUUAGAGAAGACAUGUGACCUACUUCGAAAUUUUUCUGAAUAUAUGGAUGUAGUAGUCAGUGUUGCUAGGAAAACUGAUGGCCGGCACUGGGCAGAUCUUUUCUCUGCAGCUGGACGAUCCACAGAGAUGUUCGAGGAAUGUUUCCAACGGAGAUGGUACAGGACUGCUGCUUGCUACAUACUGGUCAUUGCUAAGCUGGAAGGCCCUGCUGUCAGUCAGUAUUGUGCACUCCGUUUGCUUCAAGCUACACUCGAUGAAUCUCUGUACGAGCUUGCUGGGGAGCUGGUCCGCUUCUUGCUAAGGUCUGGCAGAGACUUUGAAAAUGCCAAUACGGACUCUGAAAAACUAUCUCCAAGGUUUAUGGGCUAUCUUCUAUUCCGUUCGCCAUACAAAAGACAAUCUUCUGACUUGAAAAGUAACUCAAUGAAAGAACUUAGCCCACAUAUUAACUCUGUUAUGAACAUUCUGGAGAGCCAUGCCAGCUAUUUGAUGUCUGGCAAGGAACUUUCAAAGCUCGUUGCUUUUGUCAAAGGGACUCAAUUUGAUCUUGUGGAAUAUCUUCAGCGAGAAAGGCAAGGGUCUGCCCGACUGGAGAAUUUUGCAUCUGCACUUGAACUAAUUGGAGAAAAGCUCCAAAUGGACACACUUCAGAGCCGGCUAGAUGCUGAGUUCCUUCUUGCUCAUAUGUGUUCUGUCAAGUUUAAGGAAUGGAUUGUCGUGCUAGCAACUUUAUUGAGGCGUGCAGAGGUUUUGGUGGAUCUCUUUCGACAUGAUCUGAGGUUGUGGAAAGCAUAUAGCAUCACUCUACAGUCACACGAUGUAUUCAGCGAGUACCUUGAUCUUCUUAGUGCCUUGGAGGAGGAGCUUUCGUCUGUUUCCGAUCGCACAUUGCAAAGCAACGGACCGGUGUCGUGA
Molecule: ribosomal RNA, 3378 nt
Filed under: Triticum aestivum (bread wheat)
Lineage: Eukaryota; Viridiplantae; Streptophyta; Magnoliopsida; Poales; Poaceae
Description: partial small subunit ribosomal RNA
Source: RNAcentral